Molecule: transfer RNA, 91 nt
Filed under: Oscillospiraceae bacterium
Lineage: Bacteria; Bacillati; Bacillota; Clostridia; Eubacteriales; Oscillospiraceae
Description: tRNA-Ser
Rfam family: tRNA
About the family: Transfer RNA (tRNA) molecules are approximately 80 nucleotides in length. Their secondary structure includes four short double-helical elements and three loops (D, anti-codon, and T loops).
Source: RNAcentral
GGACAGGUAUCGAAGUGGUUAUAACGGCCCUGACUCGAAAUCAGGUGUACCAGAAAUGGUACCGUGGGUUCGAAUCCCACCCUGUCCGCCA